Molecule: ribosomal RNA, 493 nt
Filed under: Oxydromus okupa
Lineage: Eukaryota; Metazoa; Annelida; Polychaeta; Phyllodocida; Hesionidae
Description: partial large subunit ribosomal RNA
Rfam family: Bacterial large subunit ribosomal RNA
Source: RNAcentral
GAAAAUCUAUAAAAGGUAAGUCCUGCCCUGUGAGUUACGACUUUAACGGCCGCGGUACUCUGACCGUGCAAAGGUAGCAUAAUCCCACGCCUUUUAAUUGAAGGCUAGUAUGAAUGGAUAAACGAGUGAUUUAUUGUCUCGCCUUUAUUAAUAUAAAUUAGCCUCUUUGUGAAGAGACAAAGAUCCCUCUAAAAGACAAGAAGACCCUAUUGAGUUUUACUCUAUAAUUAUCUCACAUAUUAUUUUUAAUAAAUAUAUUAUAUAAUUCCGAGUUUGAUUGGGGCAAUCUGUGACUACACCCACCGUCACCUUCUAUUAAGAUUAUUAAUCAAUAUUUAUCCACCAACGUGAAAAAAGAAUAAUUCUACUACCAUAGGGAUAACAGACCAAUCCUCUCGAAGAGCCCAAAUCAUAAGGAGGGAGUGGCACCUCGAUGUUGGCUUAGGAAAACCCCCUGGUGCAGCAGCUAGGGAGGUUGGUUUGUUCAACCAUU